Molecule: ribosomal RNA, 220 nt
Filed under: uncultured bacterium
Lineage: Bacteria
Description: partial 16S ribosomal RNA
Rfam family: Bacterial small subunit ribosomal RNA
Source: RNAcentral
UACGUAGGGUGCGAGCGUUGUCCGGAAUUAUUGGGCGUAAAGAGCUUGUAGGUGGUUUGUCGCGUCUGCUGUGAAAAUCCGAGGCUCAACCUCGGACUUGCAGUGGGUACGGGCAGACUAGAGUGUGGUAGGGGAGACUGGAAUUCCUGGUGUAGCGGUGAAAUGCGCAGAUAUCAGGAGGAACACCGAUGGCGAAGGCAGGUCUCUGGGCCACUACUGA